AGGCAUCUUGAAUUUAGGGCCCUUUAGUUUCGCAUCUGGACCUUCGAUAUUCACAUCAGGAACAUCAAUGUCCACCUUGGGUCCUGAGACGUCAAGGUCAGCCUUGGGCAGGUUCACAUCCACAUCUGGGCCCUCUCCUUUGAAGCCAGGCAUGCUGAACUUGGGCAUUUUCACCUUGGGCAUCUUCAGAUUCCAGUCUGGACCAUGAACAUCCACAUCAGGUGCAUUAAGAUUGACUUCUGGUGCCUUAAUAUCCACUUUGGGGCCUUUAAAAUUGAGGUCCAAAUCAGGCAUUGAUAUUUUAGGAGCUUUGAUGUUCAUCUCUGGCAUCUUGAAUUUAGGGCCCUUCAGUUUCGCAUCUGGACCUUCAAUAUUCACAUCUGGAACAUCAACGUCCACCUUGGGUCCUGAGACGUCAAGGUCAGCCUUGGGCAGGUUCACAUCCACUUCUGGGCCCUCUGCUUUGAACCCUGGCACACUGAAUUUGGGCAUUUUCAUCUUGGGCAUCUUCAAGUGCCAGUCUGGGCCAUGAAC
This 534-nucleotide long non-coding RNA is filed under the name Homo sapiens (human). RNAcentral describes it as "HSALNT0176146". Lineage: Eukaryota; Metazoa; Chordata; Mammalia; Primates; Hominidae. The record is from RNAcentral.